GAAAGCAAAGAAGGGCAUAUGGAGGAUGCCUAGGCUCUCGAAGGCGAAGAAGGACGUGAUAAGCUGCGAAAAGCUCCGGGGAGUGGCAAAUACACCGAGAUCCGGAGAUAUCCGAAUGGGGCAACCCGUCGAGGCUCGACCUCGACACACGCGAACGCGUGGGCGAACGUGGGGAACUGAAACAUCUAAGUACCCAUAGGAAGAGAAAAUAACAAUGAUUCCGCAAGUAGUGGCGAGCGAACGCGGAAGAGCCCAAACCGCAGGCGUAGCAAUGCGCCGUGCGGGGUUAUAGGACCGGCGCCACGAAGAACUGAAAGCUAGCCGAACCGACUGGAAAGUCGGGCCGCAGCGGGUGACAGCCCCGUAGGCGAAAGCGUUCAGCGAUUCCAGCCGGCACCUGAGUAACCCGGAGCACGAGGAAUUCCGGGCGAAUUGGCGGGGACCAUCCCGUAAGGCUAAAUACUAACGAGAGACCGAUAGCGAACCAGUACCGUGAGGGAAAGGUGAAAAGAACCUCGAACAGAGGAGUGCAACAGACCCUGAAACCAUAUGCCUACAAGCGGUCGGAGCGGCUCAGUGCCGUGACGGCGUGCCUUUUGCAUAAUGAACCUACGAGUCACCGUCGUUGGCAAGGUUAAGGACAAUGAUGUCCGGAGCCGAAGCGAAAGCGAGUCCGAAGAGGGCGCCGGAGUCAGCGGAGGUGGACGCGAAACCAAGUGAUCUACCCUUGGGCAGGUUGAAGGACAGGUAAAACUGUCUGGAGGACCGAACCGGUAAGCGUUGAAAAGCUUUCGGAUGACCUGAGGGUAGGAGUGAAAGGCCAAUCAAACUUGGAGAUAGCUCGUACUCCCCGAAAUGUAUUUAGGUGCAGCCUCGGAGAGAAUCUGACGGAGGUAGAGCGACUGAUAGGAUGCGAGGGCUUCACCGCCUAUCAAGUCCUGACAAACUCCGAAUGCCGUCAGACAUAUCCGGGAGUAAGGGCGCGGGUGCUAAGGUCCGCGUCCGAGAGAGGAACAACUCAGACCAUCGGCUAAGGUCCCGAAAUCCGGGCUAAGUUGAAGACAAUAACGAGGUGGGAUUGCAUAGACAGCUAGGAUGUUGGCUUGGAAGCAGCCAUUCAUUUAAAGAGUGCGUAACAGCUCACUAGUCGAGUGAUCCCGCGUGGAUAAUAAUCGGGCAUAAGUCCGGUACCGAAGCCAUGGAAUCACGCUUAGGGCGUGAUUGGUAGGGGAGCAUUCCGUACGGCGGCGAAGGUCGGUGGCGAUGCCGGCUGGAGCGUACGGAAAAGCAAAUGUAGGUAUAAGUAACGAUAAUGGAGGCGAGAAACCUCCACGCCGAAAGACCAAGGUUUCCUGAUCAACGCUAAUCGGAUCAGGGUAAGUCGGGACCUAAGGGGCAGCCGCGAGGCGGACCCGAUGGAAGAAACGGUAAAGAUUCCGUUACUGUCGCCGGGAGUGAAGCGGGGACGGAGGAGUGACACCGCCGCGGACUGACGGAAUAGUCCGUUGAAGAGUGUAGGUAUUCGGAGGCCAGGCAAAUCCGGCCUUUGAGCUGAACUUGACAGUACUGCGAGCCUUCGGGCAAGCAGACAGCGCGGGUAAUCAGACUCCCAAGAAAAUCCGCUAAACAUAUGUCGGCGACACCCGUACCGAAACGGACACACGUGGUCGGGUAGAACAUACUAAGGCGCUCGAGAGAUUCACCGUUAAGGAACUAGGCAAAUUGACCUCGUAACUUCGGGAUAAGGGGUCCCACAGCGAUGUGGGCGCAGAGAAUAGGUCCAGGCAACUGUUUAACAAAAACACAGGGCUGUGCGAAAUUUAAAGAUGAAGUAUACAGCCUGACACCUGCCCGGUGCCGGAAGGUUAAGAGGAGAAGUCAUCGCAAGAGAAGCUUUGAAUUGAAGCCCCGGUAAACGGCGGCCGUAACUAUAACGGUCCUAAGGUAGCGAAAUUCCUUGUCGGGUAAGUU
Molecule: ribosomal RNA, 1971 nt
Filed under: human gut metagenome
Description: bacterial LSU rRNA
Rfam family: Bacterial large subunit ribosomal RNA
Source: RNAcentral